GUAGGUGCAAGCGUUGUCCGAAUUAUUGGGCGUAAAGCGCGCGCAGGCGGUCCUUUAAGUCUGAUGUGAAAGCCCACGGGCUCAACCGUGGAGGGUCAUUGGAAACUGGGGGACUUGAGUACAGAAGAGGAAAGCGGAAUUCCAAGUGUAGCGGUGAAAUGCGUAGAGAUUUGGAGGAACACCAGUGGCGAAGGCGGCUUUCUGGUCUGUAACUGACGCUGAGGCGCGAAAGCGUGGGGAGCAAACAGGAUUAGAUAUCCUGGUAGUCCACGCCGUAAACGAUGAGUGCUAAGUGUUAGGGGGUUUCCGCCCCUUAGUGCUGCAGCUAACGCAUUAAGCACUCCGCCUGGGGAGUACGGCCGCAAAGGCUG
Molecule: ribosomal RNA, 371 nt
Filed under: uncultured organism
Description: partial 16S ribosomal RNA
Rfam family: Bacterial small subunit ribosomal RNA
Source: RNAcentral